RNAcentral lists this long non-coding RNA (1220 nucleotides) under Brassica rapa (field mustard). RNAcentral's name for it is "long non-coding RNA (BRAP_LNC006719)". The record is from RNAcentral. Lineage: Eukaryota; Viridiplantae; Streptophyta; Magnoliopsida; Brassicales; Brassicaceae.
GGCACCAUGUAGAAGAGCUUUCUCUACAAUAUAUAGAGGUUCAUGAUAAAAUCAUAUAUUCUUAUCAUUAAGAUUUUGAGAAUCCCAAAUUAGAAAAAUGUAUAUUAAAGUCUGAUUGGUUGCAUCUGUAGGAUUUUAUGUUGUAGCUGUAAAAUUUUAGUUGUGAAUUUUUCAAAUAAAGCAUGAUUAGUUAACGUUGGUGGUGAUUGGUUGGACUGUAGCAAGUCACUUUAGCUUUAAUUUUUAUUUACAGUCAUAAAAACCACAAAUCAUGCUUUAUAUUAGUUGUUAAAGCUACAACUAAAAAAUUAAAGUUACAGCCAAAAAAAAAAAAAAAACUAGCUAUAAAAGUCUUAUUUUCUAAAGCCUCAUCAUUUUGGCUCUAGGAAAUUUUAAACCUACAUCUCUUAAGGGCCUGACUGGUUCAAACGCAGCGGUUGCGGUUGCGGGAGUUUGUGGAUGCGGGCGGUUGUGGUUUCUAGCGGUUUUUAAAGAUUUGUACGACUGGUACUGCGGUUAAAAAUUGGUGCGUUUGCGGGUGACUUAUGACUGGUUAACUACCAAAUGCUGUAACAGUCAAAUAAUAAAUUAACAAUAUUUAUAUUUAAUAUAAUUAUAAAAAUAUCAAAAAUCAUAAAAUUAUAAUAAAUAUAAAAUUUAUAUUUAGAAAGUUAUAAUUUUAAUUUUUGAAAAUUUAUUGAAAUUGUUUUUAUUAUAAAAUUUUAUAAUAUUAAUUAAAAUAUAAUAGAUAUAUUUUAAUAUUUUCAAAAUUUCAAUUUUAAAUGUUUUAUUAAAUAUUUUUACUUUUGUAUAUAUAUUGUUUUAAAAAAAAGAAAAAAACUUUACCCUCCCGCAACCGCCCGCAACCGCAAACGCUAGCUGGAGCCAGCUUUUGAAUUUAUGAGAUUCGGAGCGGUUUGAAGCGGUUUAGAGCGAUUUGAGUGAUUGUUGCAAACCACCGACAACCGCUACCAACCGCAAAAGCUGCGUUUGCGGGUGGUAGCGGGAAAACCAAUCGCCCCCUAAAGCUAAAUCAAAAAAUCUUACACACUAAAUUCUAAAGUAAUUUUUUUUACAGUUACAGCUCAACCAAUCACCCCCAUUAUACAUUUAUAUUAAAAUUAAACUUAUUAUUAAUAUUAAAAUUAAUACUAAAAAUAGUAAUAUUUGAAAAUUAAAAUAAAAUUUAGAAGUUAAUUAGUUAUUGUAGAAAUUACAAA